Molecule: RNase P RNA, 431 nt
Filed under: Terriglobia bacterium
Lineage: Bacteria; Pseudomonadati; Acidobacteriota; Terriglobia
Description: RNase P RNA component class A
Rfam family: Bacterial RNase P class A
About the family: Ribonuclease P (RNase P) is a ubiquitous endoribonuclease, found in archaea, bacteria and eukarya as well as chloroplasts and mitochondria. Its best characterised activity is the generation of mature 5'-ends of tRNAs by cleaving the 5'-leader elements of precursor-tRNAs.
Source: RNAcentral
CAGCCGGACCGGACGGUCGCUGUCGCCUUCACCGGCGGCAGAGGAAAGUCCGAACUCCGCAGAGCAGUGUGCCGGAUAACGUCCGGGAGGCUGGUCCGGGGUCCCCGACGCGCGCCGCUUUUGCGCGUGGCGGGGUGGCUCUAGAUCAGUCGACGGAAAGCGCCACAGAAAACAUACCGCCGAGCGAUCGGUAAGGGUGAAAAGGUGCGGUAAGAGCGCACCGCCCGUUUAGUAAUAAACGGGGCAGGGCAAACCCCACACGGAGCAAGACCAAAUAGGGGACCAGUCCGGGAGCAAUCCCGGCACGCGCUGGCUCGGCGCGGAUGAGUUCCGGGUAGGUCGCUAGAGCCGGGCAGUGAUGCGCGGCCCAGAGGAAUGACCGUCCCGCCCGCAAGGGCGGACAGAAUUCGGCUUACAGGUCCGGCUGCCAA